GACGAACGCUGGCGGCGUGCCUAACACAUGCAAGUCGAACGGAACUGUUUUGAAAGAUUUCUUCGGAAUGAAUUUGAUUUAGUUUAGUGGCGGACGGGUGAGUAACGCGUGAGUAACCUGCCUUCAAGAGGGGAAUAACAUUCUGAAAAGAAUGCUAAUACCGCAUGACAUAUCGGAACCACAUGGUUUUGAUAUCAAAGAUUUUAUCGCUUGAAGAUGGACUCGCGUCCGAUUAGUUAGUUGGCGAGGUAACGGCUCACCAAGACCGCGAUCGGUAGCCGGACUGAGAGGUUGAACGGCCACAUUGGGACUGAGACACGGCCCAGACUCCUACGGGAGGCAGCAGUGGGGGAUAUUGCGCAAUGGGGGCAACCCUGACGCAGCAACGCCGCGUGAAGGAUGAAGGUUUUCGGAUUGUAAACUUCUUUUAUUAAGGACGAAAAAUGACGGUACUUAAUGAAUAAGCUCCGGCUAACUACGUG
RNAcentral lists this ribosomal RNA (482 nucleotides) under uncultured bacterium. RNAcentral describes it as "partial 16S ribosomal RNA". It matches the Rfam family "Bacterial small subunit ribosomal RNA", at positions 28 to 507 of the family's 1533-position model. The record is from RNAcentral.